GACGAACGCUGGCGGCGUGCUUAACACAUGCAAGUCGAACGGUAAGGCCCUUCGGGGUACACGAGUGGCGAACGGGUGAGUAACACGUGGGUGAUCUGCCCUGCACUUCGGGAUAAGCCUGGGAAACUGGGUCCAAUACCGGAUAGGACUCCGGACUGCAUGGUCUGGGGUGGAAAGCUUUUGCGGUGUGGGAUGGGCCCGCGGCCUAUCAGCUUGUUGGUGGGGUGAUGGCCUACCAAGGCGACGACGGGUAGCCGGCCUGAGAGGGUGACCGGCAACACUGGGAAGGAGAUACGGCCCAGACUCCUACGGGAGUCAACAGUGGGGAACAUUGAACAAUGGGCGCAAGCCUGAUGCAGCGACGCCGCGUGAUCGAUGACGGCCUUCGGGUUGUAAACCUCUUUCAGCAUCGACCUAGAGAAAGUGACGGUAGGUGCAGAAGAAGGACCGGCCAACUACGUGCCAGCAGCCGCCGUAA
RNAcentral lists this ribosomal RNA (478 nucleotides) under uncultured bacterium. Its description in RNAcentral is "partial 16S ribosomal RNA". It matches the Rfam family "Bacterial small subunit ribosomal RNA", at positions 28 to 523 of the family's 1533-position model. The record is from RNAcentral.